This 303-nucleotide ribosomal RNA is filed under the name uncultured bacterium. RNAcentral describes it as "bacterial SSU rRNA". It matches the Rfam family "Bacterial small subunit ribosomal RNA", at positions 495 to 793 of the family's 1533-position model. The record is from RNAcentral.
GGCUAACUCCGUGCCAGCAGCCGCGGUAAUACGGAGGGUGCGAGCGUUAAUCGGAAUUACUGGGCGUAAAGCGCAUGCAGGCGGCCUGUUAAGUCAGAUGUGAAAGCCCGGGGCUUAACCUCGGAAUUGCAUUUGAAACUGGCAGGCUAGAGUCUUGUAGAGGGGGUAGGAAUUUCAGGUGUAGCGGUGAAAUAGCGUAGAGAUCUGAAGGAAUACCAGUGGCGAAGGCGGCCCCCUCGGACAAAGACUGACGCUCAGAUGCGAAAGCGUGGGGGAGCAAACAGGAUUAGAUACCCCUGGUAG